Molecule: non-coding RNA, 291 nt
Organism: Styela clava
Lineage: Eukaryota; Metazoa; Chordata; Ascidiacea; Stolidobranchia; Styelidae
Source: RefSeq, a predicted model, not a curated record
CCCAAAAUUCAACGAGAACUUGUGAAGCUGCUUGUGGCGGGUCCGUUACAAAUUUGGAUGGUUAUAUCACCUCACCGAAUUGGCCCAAUGAAUAUCCAACAAACAAAAAAUGUGUCUGGCAAAUCGUAGCUCCACCUCAACAUAAGAUUUCUAUUCAAUUUGAAAAGUUUGAAUUAGAAGGAAAUGAGGUUUGUAAAUACGAUUAUGUGGAAAUCCGUAGUGGUUUGAGUGACGACGCUAAAUUUCACGGAAGGUUUUGUGGACUUGAACUUCCUCCUGUCAUCAGAUCAA